Molecule: ribosomal RNA, 158 nt
Filed under: Ampulloclitocybe clavipes
Lineage: Eukaryota; Fungi; Basidiomycota; Agaricomycetes; Agaricales; Hygrophoraceae
Description: 5.8S ribosomal RNA
Rfam family: 5.8S ribosomal RNA
About the family: 5.8S ribosomal RNA (5.8S rRNA) is a component of the large subunit of the eukaryotic ribosome. It is transcribed by RNA polymerase I as part of the 45S precursor that also contains 18S and 28S rRNA.
Source: RNAcentral
UACAACUUUCAACAAUGGAUCUCUUGGCUCUCGCAUCGAUGAAGAACGCAGCGAAACGCGAUAUGUAAUGUGAAUUGCAGAAUUCAGUGAAUCAUCGAAUCUUUGAACGCACCUUGCGCCCUUUGGUAUUCCAAAGGGCAUGCCUGUUUGAGUGUCAU